Molecule: small RNA, 992 nt
Filed under: uncultured bacterium
Lineage: Bacteria
Description: bacterial SSU rRNA
Rfam family: Bacterial small subunit ribosomal RNA (bases 1-490)
Source: RNAcentral
AUGGCUGUCGUCAGCUCGUGUCGUGAGAUGUUGGGUUAAGUCCCGCAACGAGCGCAACCCCCGCCCUUAGUUGCCAGCGGUUCGGCCGGGCACUCUGGGGGGACUGCCGGUGAUAAGCCGGAGGAAGGCGGGGACGACGUCAAGUCAUCAUGGCCCUUAUGCCCAGGGCUACACACGUGUUACAAUGGGGGCGACAGAGGGCCGCAAAGCCGCGAGGUGGAGCGAAUCCCCAAAAGCCCCCCCCAGUUCGGAUCGCAGUCUGCAACUCGACUGCGUGAAGCCGGAAUCGCUAGUAAUCGCGGAUCAGCACGCCGCGGUGAAUCCGUUCCCGGGCCUUGUACACACCGCCCGUCACACCACGAAAGUCUGCAACACCCGAAGUCAGUGGCCUAACUCUUAGGAGAAGGAGCUGCCGAAGGUGGGGUCGGCGAUUGGGGUGAAGUCGUAACAAGGUAGCCGUACCGGAAGGUGCGGCUGGAUCACCUCCUUUCUAAGGAGUACAUACCGUCAUCGUUGUCGACCAUAUGUGUCGACCGGUGGUGGUCACUCCCAGUUAGCGCACUGGUUAGUUGGUCACGUUCCCAGGCUCGAGUUACUCGAGUCCCGGUAACGGUGACGUUCCGUUCUCUAUCCCGUUUUGAGGGAGCGCCACGCGCUCGUCCUCAGUGGUCCGAUCCCACCUCCUCUGCGCACUCGAUGCGUGACGGUGGUGCCAUCGGGCCACAGGCCACGGCCGAUGGCGAACUUCCCACCUGGGAAGGAUCGCUACGCCGUAGCCCGGCCCCAGAGGCCGGCAGGUGCCUCUUGAGAACUGCACAGCGAACACGAGCAUCUUCAUCAAUUGUCGAUGUAUUUGUAAUUUCCAAGCUACUAAGAGCCAACGGUGAAUGCCUUGGCGACUACUACCGAAGAAGGACGUGGGUGGCUGCGAAAAGCCACGGUGAGCUGUCUACCGAGCUUUGACCCGUGGAUGUCCGAAUGGGGAAACCCGG